Molecule: ribosomal RNA, 267 nt
Filed under: uncultured bacterium
Lineage: Bacteria
Description: partial 16S ribosomal RNA
Rfam family: Bacterial small subunit ribosomal RNA
Source: RNAcentral
CACGUAGGGUGCGAGCGUUGUCCGGAAUUAUUGGGCGUAAAGAGCUCGUAGGCGGUGUGUCGCGUCGGCCGUGAAAACCUGCAGCUUAACUGUGGGCUUGCGGUCGAUACGGGCAUCACUGGAGUUCGGCAGGGGAGACUGGAAUUCCUGGUGUAGCGGUGGAAUGCGUAGAGAUCCGGAAGAACACCGGUGGCGAAGGCGGUCUGCUGGGGUCGAACUGACGCUGAGGCGCGACAGCGGUGGGGAGCAAACAGGAUUAGAGUACCG